UACGUAGGAUGCAAGCGUUGUCCGGAAUUAUUGGGGCGUAAAGAGCGCGCAGGCGGUAUGACAAGUCAGAUGUGAAAGAGGCCGGCUUAACCGGCAAGGGUCAUUUUGAAAACUGUCAGACUAGAGUGCAGCAGAGGAUAGUGGAAUUCCCGGUGUAGUGGUGAAAAUGCGUAGAUAUCGGGAGGAACACCAGUGGCGAAGGCGACUAUCUGGGCUGCAAACUGACGCUGAGGCGCGAAGGCUAGGGUAGCAAACAGG
RNAcentral lists this ribosomal RNA (258 nucleotides) under uncultured bacterium. RNAcentral describes it as "partial 16S ribosomal RNA". It matches the Rfam family "Bacterial small subunit ribosomal RNA", at positions 524 to 776 of the family's 1533-position model. The record is from RNAcentral.